Molecule: ribosomal RNA, 497 nt
Filed under: uncultured bacterium
Lineage: Bacteria
Description: partial 16S ribosomal RNA
Rfam family: Bacterial small subunit ribosomal RNA
Source: RNAcentral
GAUGAACGCUGGCGGCGUGCCUAAUACAUGCAAGUCGAGCGAACAGACGAGGAGCUUGCUCCUCUGACGUUAGCGGCUGACGGGUGAGUAACACGUGGAUAACCUACCUAUAAGACUGGGAUAACUUCGGGAAACCGGAGCUAAUACCGGAUAAUAUAUUGAACCGCAUGGUUCAAUAGUGAAAUACGGUUUUUCUGUCACUUAUAGAUGGAUCCGCGCCGCAUUAGCUAGUUGGUAAGGUAACGGCUUACCAAGGCAACGAUGCGUAGCCGACCUGAGAGGGUGAUCGGCCACACUGGAACUGAGACACGGUCCAGACUCCUACGGGAGGCAGCAGUAGGGAAUCUUCCGCAAUGGGCGAAAGCCUGACGGAGCAACGCCGCGUGAGUGAUGAAGGUCUUCGGAUCGUAAAACUCUGUUAUUAGGGAAGAAAAAAUGUGUAAGUAACUAUGCACGUCUUGACGGUACCUAAUCAGAAAGCCACGGCUAACUACGUG